CGGAGCUGGGGAUGAUUUAACCCAUCUCUUCAUCUGGGCUGAGCUGGUGAUGCCUUUCAGUGCUGGAGGAGGCUGUAGGUGACCUGUGAAUUGGCCUCUUCCGAAGAAACUUCCAGGAAUUGUUUGAACUUUUUCCUGCCUUGCUUGCUGACUUUGGAGUCCACCCCCGGUGUGAGAUGUUCAUUACUUAAGCCGAGUCGUUAGAUGAACCAGUUUUAAUCUCUACAUGGAGCAACUUGUUUUGUAAAUAAUUCAAACAUUUUAUCAUGGGUACAAUGACAAAAUGAAGAUUUAAAAAUAUGUACAUUGUUUGACAAUUAAAAAGAGAAAUUCAUACACAACAUUUGUUCAAUUUGUGAAACAUUCAAAAAUUUGACAAAGUAUAA
Molecule: long non-coding RNA, 386 nt
Filed under: Heterocephalus glaber (naked mole-rat)
Lineage: Eukaryota; Metazoa; Chordata; Mammalia; Rodentia; Bathyergidae
Description: lncRNA (ENSHGLG00100045264.1)
Source: RNAcentral